UGAGGAAUAUUGGUCAAUGGACGCGAGUCUGAACCAGCCAAGUAGCGUGAAGGAUGACUGCCCUAUGGGUUGUAAACUUCUUUUAUAUGGGAAUAAAGUGGUCCACGUGUGGAUUUUUGUAUGUACCAUAUGAAUAAGGAUCGGCUAACUCCGUGCCAGCAGCCGCGGUAAUACGGAGGAUCCGAGCGUUAUCCGGAUUUAUUGGGUUUAAAGGGAGCGUAGGCGGAUUGUUAAGUCAGUUGUGAAAGUUUGCGGCUCAACCGUAAAAUUGCAGUUGAUACUGGCAGUCUUGAGUGCAGUAGAGGUGGGCGGAAUUCGUGGUGUAGCGGUGAAAUGCUUAGAUAUCACGAAGAACUCCGAUUGCGAAGGCAGCUCACUGGAGUGUAACUGACGCUGAUGCUCGAAAGUGUGGGUAUCAAACAGGAUUAGAUACCCUGGUAGUCCACACAGUAAACGAUGAAUACUCGCUGUUUGCGAUAUACAGUAAGCGGCCAAGCGAAAGCAUUAAGUAUUCCACCUGGGGAGUACGCCGGCAACGGUGAAACUCAAAGGAAUUGACGGGGGCCCGCACAAGCGGAGGAACAUGUGGUUUAAUUCGAUGAUACGCGAGGAACCUUACCCGGGCUUAAAUUGCAAAUGAAUUAUGGGGAAACCCAUACGCCGCAAGGCAUUUGUGAAGGUGCUGCAUGGUUGUCAUCAGCUCGUGCCGUGAGGUGUCGGCUUAAGUGCCAUAACGAGCGCAACCCUUAUCUUCAGUUACUAACAGGUCAUGCUGAGGACUCUGGAGAGACUGCCGUCGUAAGAUGUGAGGAAGGUGGGGAUGACGUCAAAUCAGCACGGCCCUUACGUCCGGGGCUACACACGUGUUACAAUGGGGGGUACAGAAGGCCGCUACCUGGUGACAGGAUGCCAAUCCCAAAAACCUCUCUCAGUUCGGAUCGAAGUCUGCAACCCGACUUCGUGAAGCUGGAUUCGCUAGUAAUCGCGCAUCAGCCAUGGCGCGGUGAAUACGUUCCC
Molecule: ribosomal RNA, 1017 nt
Filed under: uncultured bacterium
Lineage: Bacteria
Description: bacterial SSU rRNA
Rfam family: Bacterial small subunit ribosomal RNA
Source: RNAcentral